Etheostoma cragini (Arkansas darter) is the source of this 165-nucleotide long non-coding RNA. RefSeq lists it as uncharacterized. The transcript is spliced from 3 exons. NCBI's taxonomy places the organism in Eukaryota, Metazoa, Chordata, Actinopteri, Perciformes, Percidae. The record is from RefSeq and is a predicted model, not a curated record.
AUAAGAAAUGACCCAUACAAUGUGCCAAACCAAAGUGCAGCAUGAGGAGACAGUGCAGCAUGUGACGGUAGCAACAGCUGAGAAGAUUUGGGUCUGUGGUGACCAGGUCCACCUCACACAAACUGCCUUCUCCCACUUUCUCUCUUUACUUCUCCACACAAACAC